GUCGGUAGUCAAGUGGCUAAGGCAAUGGACUGCAACUCCAUGAUCGAGAGUUCAAAUCUCUCUCGA
RNAcentral lists this transfer RNA (66 nucleotides) under pig gut metagenome. It matches the Rfam family "tRNA". From Rfam's summary of the family: Transfer RNA (tRNA) molecules are approximately 80 nucleotides in length. The record is from RNAcentral.